This 239-nucleotide ribosomal RNA is filed under the name uncultured bacterium. Its description in RNAcentral is "partial 16S ribosomal RNA". It matches the Rfam family "Bacterial small subunit ribosomal RNA", at positions 57 to 305 of the family's 1533-position model. The record is from RNAcentral.
GCAAGUCGAACGGUAACAGGUCUUCGGAUGCUGACGAGUGGCGGACGGGUGAGUAACGCGUAGGAAUCUGCCCACGGGUGGGGGAUACCGUCUGGAAACGGACGUUAAUACCGCAUAAUACCUUAGUGUCAAAGGGGGCUUUUAGCUCUCGCCUGUGGAUGAGCCUGCGGAAGAUUAGCGGGUGGGUGGGGUAAGGGCCCACCAAGGCGACGAUCUUUAGCUGAUUUGAGAGGAUGAGC